This 377-nucleotide ribosomal RNA is filed under the name uncultured eukaryote. RNAcentral describes it as "partial 18S ribosomal RNA". It matches the Rfam family "Eukaryotic small subunit ribosomal RNA", at positions 592 to 976 of the family's 1831-position model. The record is from RNAcentral.
CAAUAGCGUAUAUUAAUGUUGUUGCAGCUAAAAAGCUCGUAGUUGGAUUUCUGAUGGGAGCCCUGGUCACUUUAACGAGUGUACUGAUGUGGCGUCCCGUCGUUUCAUGGGGAUGCUUGCUGGUAUUAAGUUAUCGGCUUGUGGAUCCAUGUCGUUUACUGUGAAAAAAUUAGAGUGUUCAAAGCAGGCCAUCGCUGUGAAUACAUUAGCAUGGAAUAAUAAGAUAGGACUGUGGUGCUAUUUUGUUGGUUUGCGUACUACGGUAAUGAUUAAUAGGGAUAGUUGGGGGUAUUCAUAUUCAAUUGUCAGAGGUGAAAUUCUUGGAUUUAUGGAAGAUGAACUACUGCGAAAGCAUUUACCAAGGAUGUUUUCAUUAA